UAAGGGCGCACGGUGGAUGCCUUGGCACUAGAAGCCGAUGAAGGACGUUACUAACGACGAUAUGCUUUGGGGAGCUGUAAGUAAGCUUUGAUCCAGAGAUUUCCGAAUGGGGAAACCCAGCAUGAGUUAUGUCAUGUUAUCGAUAUGUGAAUACAUAGCAUAUCAGAAGGCACACCCGGAGAACUGAAACAUCUUAGUACCCGGAGGAAGAGAAAGAAAAUUCGAUUCCCUUAGUAGCGGCGAGCGAAACGGGAAGAGCCCAAACCAACAAGCUUGCUUGUUGGGGUUGUAGGACACUCUAUACGGAGUUACAAAGGACGACAUUAGACGAAUCAUCUGGAAAGAUGAAUCAAAGAAGGUAAUAAUCCUGUAGUCGAAAAUGUUGUCUCUCUUGAGUGGAUCCUGAGUACGACGGAGCACGUGAAAUUCCGUCGGAAUCUGGGAGGACCAUCUCCUAAGGCUAAAUACUCUCUAGUGACCGAUAGUGAACCAGUACCG
This 498-nucleotide ribosomal RNA is filed under the name Staphylococcus aureus. RNAcentral describes it as "partial 23S ribosomal RNA". It matches the Rfam family "Bacterial large subunit ribosomal RNA", at positions 12 to 503 of the family's 2925-position model. Lineage: Bacteria; Bacillati; Bacillota; Bacilli; Caryophanales; Staphylococcaceae. The record is from RNAcentral.